Molecule: long non-coding RNA, 5957 nt
Organism: Mytilus californianus (California mussel)
Lineage: Eukaryota; Metazoa; Mollusca; Bivalvia; Mytilida; Mytilidae
Exons: 3
Source: RefSeq, a predicted model, not a curated record
ACAGAAUAUACUGGGCAUGAAAUUUUUAUUAUAUGUUUGUAUCAGCAAUGCCUCUGACAAGUUCGUAAAUGAGUGCAGAUCAAGUAUUUUUAUGCCCCCGCCGUAGCGGUGGGGGUAUUAAGUUUUACCAUUGUCCGUCUGUAUGUACGUACAUCCGUACGUCCCAAAAUUGGUUUCCGUUCUCUAACUUGAGUUUGCCUCAACCAAAUGUUAUGAAACUGAUACACAAUGCUUAUUACCACAAAACACAGAUCAAGUUUGAAUUUUGGUGGCAUCACUUUAACCGUUCUAGAGUUAUGCCCUUUUAUAAAUGGAAAAAUUGCAAAAUGUUUAGUUUCCGUUCUCUAACUUAAGUUUGCCUCAACCAAAUGUUAUGAAACUUAUACACAAUCCUUAUUACCACAAAACACAGGUCAGGUAAGAAUUUUGGUGGCGUCACUUUAACCAUUCUAGAGUUAUGCCCCUUUAUAAAUGGAAAAAUUGCAAAAUAUUUAUUUUCUUCUAUAUAUCGAGUAAUUUUUAUACGACCGCAAAAAAAUUUUGUGGUCGUAUAUUGGUAUGACGUUGGCGUCGUCGUCGUCGUCCGAAGACACAUUGGUUUUCGCACUCUAACUUUAGUUUAAGUGAAUGGAUCUUUUUGAAAUUUGACCAUAAGGUUAAAUACCACAAAAGGAAGGUUGGGAUUGAUUUUGGGGGUUAUGGUACCAACAGUUAAGGAAUUAGGGGCCGAAAAGGGGCCAAAAAUAAGCAUUUUCUAGUUUCCAGACAAUAACUGUGGAAUGGUGUAUGGAUCUUUCUGAAAUUAUACUACAAGUUUCCAUACCUCAAAGGGAUGGUUAGGAUUUGCUUUGGGGGGUUAUGGCUCAAACCGUUUAGGAAUUAGGGGCAAAAAAGGGGGAAAAACAAGGUUGUCCUGGUUAAUGGACAAAUACUUUAGUACAAAACAAUUUAAAGCAGUGUAAGGGAGAUAAAUCAAAUACAUCAUUGAAAUUAUCUCCCUUACACUGCUUUUAAAUUAUGUAUAAAGUAAUGGUUAAUGAACAAUAAAGAUAAUUUAAAACAGUGUAAGGGAGGUAAUCCAAAUACAACAUUUUGGUUUCUUCCCUUUCACUGCUUUUAAAUUAUGUUUAAACAAAUGCAUAUUUAUAAAAGUAGACCAGUAAAAAAUCUGCAAAUGUUGCAUCUUUUUUUUUUACAAAAAAAUCCUGAUGAAGAUUUGACACUAUAUUUUUAUACGACCGCAAAAAUUAAAAAUUUUUUGGUCGUAUAUUGGUAUGACGUUGGCGUCGUCCGAAGACACAUUGGUUUUCGCACUCUAACUUUAGUUUAAGUGAAUGGAUCUCCAUGAAAUUUUACCAUAAGGUUCAAUACCACGAAAGGAAGGUUGGGAUUGAUUUUGGGGGUUAUGGUACCAACAGUUAAGGAAUUAGGGGCAAAAAAGGUGCCAAAAAUAAGCAUUUUUGUAACUUCCAGACAAUAACUUGUGUGUAAGUGUAUGGAUCUCUCUGACAUUGUACCACAAGGUUCCAUAUCACAAAGGAAAGGCUGUAAUUGAUUUUGGGGGUAAUUGCCUCAAAAUUUUAGGAAUUAGGGGCCAAAAAAGGGGCAAAAAACAAGCAUUUUUCUAGUUUCAUGACAAUAACUUGUGUGUAAGUGUUUGGAUAUUUCUGAAAUUGUACUACAAGGUUCCAUAUCACAAAGGGAAAGCUGGAAUUGAGUUUGGGGGUAAUUGCCCGAAACGUUUAGGAAUUGGGGGCCAAAAAGGGGCCAAAAAUAAGCAUUUUUCUAGUUUCCAGACAAUAACUUGUGUUCAAGUGUAUGGAUCUCUCUGAAAUUGUACUGCAAGGUACCAUACCACAAAGGGAAGGCUGGGAUUGAGUUUGGGGGUGAUGAAUCGUAAGGGGGUUCAAAAAAUUGGGGGGGGGGAUUUUUUUUUUUUUUUUUUUUUCUUUUUUUCCUUUUUUUUUUCUUUUAAAAUUUUCCAUUUUAAGUUGGUUAUUUCUGAUUAACAUUUAAAAGCAAAUAAUAAUGAUAUGGUAGGAGAUACACACCAAACAGGAUGUGUAAAUUAUUAUCUAAUAAGUAUUGUGCAAUAGCAAGAAAUUUUCAAUUGCACAGUAUUGCACAAUAGCAAGAAAUCUUCAAUUGCACAGUAUUGCGCAAUAGCAAGAAAUCUUCAAUUGCACAGUAUUGCGCAAUAGCAAGAAAUAUCCAAUAGCACAAUAUUGCGCAAUAGCAAGAAAUUGUCAAUUGUACAGUAUUGCGCAAUAGCAAGAAAUAUUCAAUUGCACAGUAUUGUGCAAAAGAAGAUACUUCGUAUAAAUUGCUUAUUUCUUGAUCAAUUUCAAUGGGGUUUUAUUCUUGAAUUCUUGGGGUUCUUUAAUAUGCUGAAUCUAACCGUGUAUUAAGUUUUUGGAUUUUGGGCCCCGUUUUUAAAUUGGUCCACAUUGAGGUCCAGAGGGUCCAAAAUUUAACUUUGUUUGAUUUCAUCAAAAAUUGAAUUAUUGGGGUUCUUUGAUAUGCUGAAUCUAACCGUGUAUUUAGAUUCUUAAUUUUUGGUUCCGUUUUCAAAUUGGUCUACAUUAAGGUCCAAAGGCGUCCAAAAUUAAACUUAGUUUGAUUUUAACAAAAAUUGAAUUUUUAGGGUUCUUUGAUAUGCUGAAUCUAAACAUGUAUUUAGAUUUUUGAUUAUGGGCCCAGUUUUCAAGUUGGUCCAAAUCGGGGUCCAAAAUUAAACUUUGUUUGAUUUCAACAAAAAUUGAAUAUAUGGGGUUCUUUGAUAUGCUGAAUCUAACUGUGUAUUUAGAUUCUUAAUUUUUGGUUCCGUUUUCAAAUUGGUCUACAUUAAGGUCCAAAGGGUCCAAAAUUAAACUUAGUUUGAUUUUAACAAAAAUUGAAUUUUUAGGGUUCUUUGAUAUGCUGAAUCUAAACAUGUAUUUAGAUUUUUGAUUAUGGGCCCAGUUUUCAAGUUGGUCCAAAUCGGGGUCCAAAAUUUAACUUUGUUUGAUUUCAUCAAAAAUUGAAUUCUUGGGGUUCUAUGAUAUGCUGAAUCUAACCAUGUAUUUAGAUUUUGGAUAUUAGACCAUAAUAGGUGAAUGUCCAAUUUAAAAUUUUUAAGUUCUUAGGCCACAUUCAUUCUGUGUCAGAAACCUAUGCUGUGUCAAAUAUUUAAUCACAAUCCAAAUUCAGAGCUAUAUCAAGCUUGAAUGUUGUGUCCAUACUUGCCCCAACUGUUCAGGGUUCGACCUCUGCGGUCGUAUCAAGCUGCGCCCUGCGGAGCAUUUUAUUAAUUCUAUUAUAAAAUAGAUUAAGUUAGCACUAUGGUAAAUUUAAAUGGGUAAUUAUGGUUGCCAACUCCAUUGGAAAUUUGAAUUGAAAUUAUGACCAUAUCUUGAGGGAAAGAAUUUUUUGGGGGAUAAAAAGAAAUUGUGGGGGGUCAAUUUUUUCUCAUUUCAGAUUUCAGAAAUUAAAAAGAAUUAUUCUUCAAAUAUUUUUUUUUUUUCAAAUUUCAAAUAUUGAAAAAUUUCAAGAAGUAAUCUUUAAUUGCACAGUAUGGGUCAUUAGAUUUGUAAAAUCUUUGAUCACAUUUAUUUAUUUGUUAUGCCGAAUCUAUCAGUGUAUUUAGAUUUUUAAUUUUGGGUCCAGUUUUCAAAUUGGUCUACAUUAAGGUCCAAAGGGUCCAAAAUUAAACUUUGUUUGAUUUUAGCAAAAAUUGAAUAUAUGAGGUUCUUUGAUAUGCUGAAUCUAAACAUGUAUUUAGAUUUUUGAUUUUUGGCUUAGUUUUCAAGUUGGUCCAAAUUGGGGUCCAAAAUUAAACUUUGUUUGAUUUCAACAAAAAUUGAAUAUAUGGGGUUCUUUGAUAUGCUGAAUCUAACCAUGUAUUUAGAUUUUUUAUUUGUAGACCCCACUAUCAAAUUGGUUCAUAUUGAGGUCAAAAGGGUCCAAAAUUAAACUUUGUUUGAUUUCAUCUAAAAUUGAAUUAUUGGGGUUCUUUGAUAUUCCAAAUCUAACCGUGUAUUUAGAUUUUUAAUUUUGGGUCCUGUUUUUUUAAAUUGGUCUACAUUAAGGUCCAAAGGGUCCAAAAUUAAACUUAGUUUGAUUUUAACAAAAAUUGAAUUCUUGGGGUUCUUUGAUAUGCUGAUUCUAAACAUGUGUUUAGAUUUUUGAUUAUGGGCCCAGUUUUCAAGUUGGUCCAAGAUAGGGUCCAGUAUUUAAACUUUGUUUGAUUUCAACAAAAAUUGAAUAUAUGGGGUUCUUUGAUAUGCUGAAUCUAAACAUGUAUUUAGAUUUUUGAUUAUGGGCCCAGUUUUCAAGUUGGUCCAAAUUGGGGUCCAAAAUUAAACUUUGUUUGAUUUCAACAAAAAUUGAAUAUAUGAGGUUCUUUGAUAUGCUGAAUCUAACCAUGUAUUUAGAUUUUUUAUUUGUAGGCCCCGCUAUCAAAUUGGUUCAUAUUGAGGUCAAAAGGGUCCAAAAUUAAACUUUGUUUGAUUUCAUCAAAAAUUGAAUUAUUGGGGUUCUUUGAUAUUCCAAAUCUAACCGUGUAUUUAGAUUUUUAAUUUUAAGUCCCGUUUUUUAAAUUGCCCGCUAUCAAAUUGGUUCAUAUUGAGGUCAAAAGGGUCCAAAAUUAAACUUAGUUUGAUUUUAGCAAAAAUUGAAUUCUUGGGGUUAUUUGAUAUGCUGAAUCUAAACAUGUGUUUAGAUUUUUGAUUAUGGGCCCAGUUUUCAAGUUUGUCCAAGUUGGGGUCCAAAAUUAAACUUUGUUUGAUUUUAACAAAAAUUGAAUAUAUGGGGUUCUUUGAUAUGCUGAAUCUAACCAUGUAUUUUGAUUUUGGACAUUGGACCAUAAUAGGUAAAUUAAAAAAAUUCAAGUUCUUAGACCACAUUCUUUCUGUGUCAGAAACCUAUGCUGUGUCAAAUAUUUAAUAACAAUCCAAAUUCAGAGCUGUAUCAAGCUUGAAUGUUGUGUUCAUACUUGCCCCAACUGUUCAGGGUUCGACCUCUGCGGUCGUAUCAAGCUGCGCCCCAGCGAAGCAUUUUAUUCUCUUUGUUUUUUUAUUUAUUUAUUACUUUCUCUUCUCUUUUUUCUUUCUUUAGGAAAUAAAAUUCUCUCUUUAUUGAACAAUAUGGAAAUAAUGGAUACAUAAUAAUAUAGUGUAUAUAUUUUAUAAUUUAGAAUACUAACAAUUACUAACUAUUUUCUAUCUAAAUAUACAAUCUAAUGUUUAACGAGGCCGGGAUAAGGUACCGGUACUUUCUGUAUCCAACUAAAAAAUGUGAAAGUUUUCAAUAAAGUAUGUAAAGUCUGAAAAAAAAAAAUAAAAAAAUUACAGGGCCAAUAUUAAACCAAAUUUGGCCUCACUCAUUAUUAGGUAUCUGUUAUGAUUUUGAUAUAUUUUUACAUGAUUUCCAAAACUGAAGUAGAAUCAGGUGAGCGACACAGGCUCUUGAGAGCCUCUAGUUAUAUAGAUUAGACCGUUGGUUUUCCUGUUUGAAUUGUUUUACACUUGUCAUUUUGGGGCCCUUUAUAGCUUGCUGUUCGGUGUAAGCCAAGGCUCCGUGUUGAAGGCCGUACUUUGACCUAUAGUUGUUAACUUUUUAUACAUUGUGGCUUGGAUGGAGAGUUGUUUCAUUGGCACUCAUACCACAUCUUCUUAUUUAUAUUGACAAGGCCAUGGCUAAAAAAUAAAAAGAUAAACAGACAAACAACAGUACAGAAAACUAAAGACUGAGCAGCACGAACCCACCAAAAAUUGCCUAUUGGCUGCUUAUAGGAAAUGUAAUAUAAACCAAGAAAAGGACCUUCUUUUGUGAAGUGGACAACUCAGGGCUUGUGUUAUUGGAUCUUCACUGUUUUAGACAUUAUUUUGAAUUUCUUAGUUAAUCAAUUGUACUUGAUUUUGUAUGAUUUUUAAUAAUACCAUUGUUAUUAUACAGAAAUGUUGAAGAAAAUGAUUAUU